This 161-nucleotide ribosomal RNA is filed under the name Pentzia calva. RNAcentral describes it as "5.8S ribosomal RNA". It matches the Rfam family "5.8S ribosomal RNA". From Rfam's summary of the family: 5.8S ribosomal RNA (5.8S rRNA) is a component of the large subunit of the eukaryotic ribosome. It is transcribed by RNA polymerase I as part of the 45S precursor that also contains 18S and 28S rRNA. The record is from RNAcentral. Lineage: Eukaryota; Viridiplantae; Streptophyta; Magnoliopsida; Asterales; Asteraceae.
UGACUCUCGGCAACGGAUAUCUCGGCUCACGCAUCGAUGAAGAACGUAGCAAAAUGCGAUACUUGGUGUGAAUUGCAGAAUCCCGUGAACCAUCGAGUUUUUGAACGCAAGUUGCGCCCGAAGCCUUUUGGCCGAGGGCACGUCUGCCUGGGCGUCACGCA